RNAcentral lists this ribosomal RNA (207 nucleotides) under uncultured bacterium. Its description in RNAcentral is "partial 16S ribosomal RNA". It matches the Rfam family "Bacterial small subunit ribosomal RNA", at positions 568 to 774 of the family's 1533-position model. The record is from RNAcentral.
UCCGCAGGAGGUUCGUUAAAAUUGGGGUGAAAUCCCGGAGCUCAACUCCGGAACUGCCCCGAUGACUGACGGACUAGAGUGCUGGAGGGGUAAGCGGAAUUUCAGGUGUAGCGGUGGAAUGCGUAGAUAUCUGAAAGAACACCGAUGGCGAAGGCAGCUUACUGGACAGCAACUGACUCUCAGGGACGAAAGCGUGAGGAGCAAACA